GAUAAACGCUGGCGGCGCACAUAAGACAUGCAAGUCGAACGGACUUAACCAUUAGUUUACUAUUGGAGCGGUUAGUGGCGGACUGGUGAGUAACACGUAAGCAACCUGCCUAUCAGAGGGGAACAACAGUUAGAAAUGACUGCUAAUACCGCAUAUGCCUUAAUUACCACAUGGUAAUAGAGGGAAAGGAGCAAUCCGCUGAUAGAUGGGCUUGCGUCCGAUUAGCUAGUUGGUGAGGUAACGGCCCACCAAGGCGACGAUCGGUAGCCGGACUGAGAGGUUGAACGGCCACAUUGGGACUGAGACACGGCCCAG
Molecule: ribosomal RNA, 315 nt
Filed under: uncultured bacterium
Lineage: Bacteria
Description: bacterial SSU rRNA
Rfam family: Bacterial small subunit ribosomal RNA
Source: RNAcentral